Molecule: non-coding RNA, 30 nt
Filed under: Homo sapiens (human)
Lineage: Eukaryota; Metazoa; Chordata; Mammalia; Primates; Hominidae
Source: RNAcentral
UAGUUUGUGGUUUUCACCUUGGUGGAUUGC